This 253-nucleotide ribosomal RNA is filed under the name uncultured bacterium. Its description in RNAcentral is "partial 16S ribosomal RNA". It matches the Rfam family "Bacterial small subunit ribosomal RNA", at positions 524 to 776 of the family's 1533-position model. The record is from RNAcentral.
UACGGGGGGAGCAAGCGUUGUUCGGAUUUACUGGGCGUAAAGGGCGCGUAGGCGGCGCAACAAGUCACUUGUGAAAUCUCCGGGCUUAACUCGGAGCGGCCAAGUGAUACUGUCGUGCUAGAGUGCGGAAGGGGCAACUGGAAUUCUCGGUGUAGCGGUGAAAUGCGUAGAUAUCGAGAGGAACACCUGCGGCGAAGGCGGGUUGCUGGGCCGACACUGACGCUGAGGCGCGAAAGCGUGGGGAGCAAACAGG